CAGGUAGCACUCCUCGUUCGACACCGGCACGCAUGAGCCCUCCCUUUUGACGUGGAGGGUCAACUCGUGCUCGGACAUCGUCCGUGCUUAGCGUAAAACGCUUAACUGGGUAUGCGACGAAUGAACGCCCAUUCCCCCUCAACAUUCUGCAUCCCGGGGCACAACUAGAGACCGUACACCUGACCAACAACGCUUGGUUUUCGCCGCUGUGGUAGGAGGACGGGUCCAGCUACAUAGGUCCACCGAACACCCCCGAAAGGAUGUCUGACGGAAUCGAUUGAUUUGAACGGGACAUCAAUACCUUCAUUAGGAAUGAAACACAGAAAACCAUACCUCGCCCAAGGCUUACAGCACUUGGAGCAACACUGAAGAGGUUUAUCAGCGUGCGGUUCGAUGCACAAGCAUGGAGCCCGCCAGCCAAAAAAACCAAUCACCACU
RNAcentral lists this unclassified non-coding RNA (438 nucleotides) under Stutzia dioica. RNAcentral's name for it is "partial external transcribed spacer". The record is from RNAcentral. Lineage: Eukaryota; Viridiplantae; Streptophyta; Magnoliopsida; Caryophyllales; Amaranthaceae.